Molecule: ribosomal RNA, 497 nt
Filed under: uncultured bacterium
Lineage: Bacteria
Description: partial 16S ribosomal RNA
Rfam family: Bacterial small subunit ribosomal RNA
Source: RNAcentral
GAUGAACGCUGGCGGCGCGCCUAAUACAUGCAAGUCGAGCGAACAGACGAGGAGCUUGCUCCUCUGACGUUAGCGGCGGACGGGUGAGUAACACGUGGAUAACCUACCUAUAAGACUGGGAUAACUUCGGGAAACCGGAGCUAAUACCGGAUAAUAUAUUGAACCGCAUGGUUCAAUAGUGAAAGACGGUUUUGCUGUCACUUAUAGAUGGAUCCGCGCCGCAUUAGCUAGUUGGUAAGGUAACGGCUUACCAAGGCAACGAUGCGUAGCCGACCUGAGAGGGUGAUCGGCCACACUGGAACUGCGACACGGUCCAGACUCCUACGGGAGGCAGCAGUAGGGAAUCUUCCGAAAUGGGCGAAAGCCUGACGGAGCAACGCCGCGUGAGUGAUGAAGGUCUUCGGAUCGUAAAACUCUGUUAUUAGGGAAGAACAAAUGUGUAAGUAACUAUGCACGUCUUGACGGUACCUAAUCAGAAAGCCACGGCUAACUACGUG